Artibeus jamaicensis (Jamaican fruit-eating bat) is the source of this 584-nucleotide long non-coding RNA. RefSeq lists it as uncharacterized. The transcript has 3 exons. The record is from RefSeq and is a predicted model, not a curated record. Lineage: Eukaryota; Metazoa; Chordata; Mammalia; Chiroptera; Phyllostomidae.
UGAUAUUACAGAAGUACAGGGCUGUGGAGGAAGGAACAUGGUGGACAUGGGAAUAUUCAGAGAAGCAAGGAGUAAGACUCACUGGCUUCAAGUAGCCUAAGUAUCCAUUCAUCCCUUGCUCUAUACAUACGGCCAGCAGUACUGAGGACAUGGUUCCUGUUUUAAAAAAGGAGAAAAAAGAAAGAGAAAGAGGACAAGGACAACACAAGAAACUUUGAAAUGCAUUAGAGACUAUGGCAUAUUUUCAAUAUUUCUAUUUAUCAAGUCAAUACUUUAAUUUUAAAAAUAUGAUGUCUGAUUUAAAACUUCAUUUGGAGAGAACAUUAAAAUAUAUACAUUUGAAGCUCUGUGGGAAUGUGAGCUAUGGGCUCAAGGGCCCUCCUGCCCUUUCGGGCCAACUCUGGUCUUUUCCCACUUUUCCCAUUUCUUUCCUCACCUUCACCCCUACUCUGGCCAGUCUCCCUCCCUUUCUCUCUCCCUCCCUUUCUUCCUUUGUUCUUUCCUUCCUUCCUUCCCUGGGAUUUUCCCCCCUGUUAAUGCUGUUUAAUUGAGAGAAGUAAAUCAAGAAAAAUAACAACAGAGAA